Molecule: small RNA, 77 nt
Filed under: uncultured Erwinia sp.
Lineage: Bacteria; Pseudomonadati; Pseudomonadota; Gammaproteobacteria; Enterobacterales; Erwiniaceae
Description: OmrA-B family
Rfam family: OmrA-B family
Source: RNAcentral
CCCAGAGGUAUUGAUGGGUGAACAUCAAGAGUAGUAACGCUUUUUCACCAACCUGCGCAGAUGCGCAGGUUUUUUUU